ACGAACGCUGGCGGCGUGCCUAAUACAUGCAAGUUGAGCGCUGAAGGUUGGUACUUGUACCAACUGGAUGAGCAGCGAACGGGUGAGUAACGCGUGGGGAAUCUGCCUUUGAGCGGGGGACAACAUUUGGAAACGAAUGCUAAUACCGCAUAAAAACUUUAAACACAAGUUUUAAGUUUGAAAGAUGCAAUUGCAUCACUCAAAGAUGAUCCCGCGUUGUAUUAGCUAGUUGGUGAGGUAAAGGCUCACCAAGGCGAUGAUACAUAGCCGACCUGAGAGGGUGAUCGGCCACAUUGGGACUGAGACACGGCCCAAACUCCUACGGGAGGCAGCAGUAGGGAAUCUUCGGCAAUGGACGAAGGUCUGACCGAGCAACGCCGCGUGAGUGAAGAAGGUUUUCGGAUCGUAAAACUCUGUUGGUAGAGAAGAACGUUGGUGAGAGUGGAAAGCUCAUCAAGUGACGGUAACUACCCAGAAAGGGACGGCUAACUACGUG
This 496-nucleotide ribosomal RNA is filed under the name uncultured bacterium. RNAcentral's name for it is "partial 16S ribosomal RNA". It matches the Rfam family "Bacterial small subunit ribosomal RNA", at positions 29 to 507 of the family's 1533-position model. The record is from RNAcentral.